CGGGGGACUAACAUAUCAAUAAGCGGAGGAAAAGAAACUAACAAGGAUUCCCCUAGUAACUGCGAGUGAAGCGGGAAAAGCUCAAAUUUAAAAUCUGGUGGUCUUUGGCCAUCCGAGUUGUAAUUUAGAGAAGCGUCUUCCGCGCUGGACCAUGCACAAGUCUCCUGGAAUGGAGCGUCAUAGAGGGUGAGAAUCCCGUCUUUGGCAUGGACCCCCAGGGCUUCUGUGAUGCGCUCUCAAAGAGUCGAGUUGUUUGGGAAUGCAGCUCAAAAUGGGUGGUGAACUCCAUCUAAAGCUAAAUAUUGGCGAGAGACCGAUAGCGAACAAGUACCGUGAGGGAAAGAUGAAAAGCACUUUGGAAAGAGAGUGAAACAGUACGUGAAAUUGUUGAAAGGGAAACGCUUGAAGUCAGUCGCGUUGACCGAGACUCAGCCUUGCCUUGGCUUGGUGUACUUCUCGGCUGACGGGUCAGCAUCAAUUUUGGUCCUUGGAUAAUGGCAAGGGAAAGGUAGCACCUUUACAGGUGUGUUAUAGUCCUCUGUCGCAUGCAAGGGUUGGGAUUGAGGAACUCAGCAUGCACCUCAUCGGUGUCGGGGCCUCGGCCUACGUUACGUGCUUAGGAUGCUGGCAUAAUGGCUUUAAACGACCCGUCUUGAAACACGGACCAAGGAGUCUAACAUGCACGCGAGUGUUCGGGUGGAAAACCCGUGCGCGUAAUGAAAGUAAAAGUUGGGACCUCUGUCGUAGAGGGCACCGACGCCCGGACCAGACCUUCUGUGACGGCUCUGCGGUAGAGCGUGUAUGUUGGGACCCGAAAGAUGGUGAACUAUGCCUGAAUAGGGUGAAGCCAGAGGAAACUCUGGUGGAGGCUCGUAGCGAUUCUGACGUGCAAAUCGAUCGUCAAAUUUGGGUAUAGGGGCGAAAGACUAAUCGAACCAUCUAGUAGCUGGUUCCUGCCGAAUUCCCCCUUCA
Molecule: ribosomal RNA, 972 nt
Filed under: Russula sp.
Lineage: Eukaryota; Fungi; Basidiomycota; Agaricomycetes; Russulales; Russulaceae
Description: partial 28S large subunit ribosomal RNA
Rfam family: Eukaryotic large subunit ribosomal RNA
Source: RNAcentral